GAAAUGCGAUAAGUAAUGUGAAUUGCAUAAUUCAGUGAAUCAUCGAAUCUUUGAACGCACCUUGCGCUCCUUGGUAUUCCUUGGAGCAUGCCUGUUUGAGUAUCAUGAAAUCUUCAAAGUAAAUCUUUUGUUAACUCAAUUGGUUUCUACUUUGGUAUUGGAGGUCUUUGCAGCUUCACACCUGCUCCUCUUUGUUCAUUAGCUGGAUCUCAGUGUUAUGCUUGGUUCCACUCGGCGUGAUAAGUUAUCUAUCGCUGAGGACACUGUAAAAGGUGGCCAAGGUAAAUGCAGAUGAACCGCUUCUAAUAGUCCAUUGACUUGGACAAUACUUUUAUGAUCUGAUCUCAAAUCAGGUAGGACUACCCACUGAACUUAAGC
This 378-nucleotide unclassified non-coding RNA is filed under the name plant metagenome. RNAcentral describes it as "partial contains 5.8S ribosomal RNA, internal transcribed spacer 2, and large subunit ribosomal RNA". The stretch from base 1 to 105 matches the Rfam family "5.8S ribosomal RNA", at positions 50 to 154 of the family's 154-position model. The record is from RNAcentral.